CUUACAAAGAUGCCGAAUCUCCUUUAUGGAGUACGGGGGAUAUCCUAUGGGGUGAAUCUUUUAAAAGUAGGGUACCUCUAACCCGAACCCGUCAACUAACCUCGGAGGCAAAAUGGAGGUAUAAA
Molecule: small RNA, 125 nt
Filed under: Clostridium sp.
Lineage: Bacteria; Bacillati; Bacillota; Clostridia; Eubacteriales; Clostridiaceae
Also listed under: 1 other name
Description: c-di-AMP sequence
Rfam family: c-di-AMP riboswitch aptamer (ydaO/yuaA leader)
About the family: This family represents a conserved RNA structure found upstream of the ydaO and yuaA genes in Bacillus subtilis and related genes in other bacteria. The ydaO/yuaA element is thought to act as a genetic "off" switch for the ydaO and yuaA genes in its native state.
Source: RNAcentral